AUGGACGGCGUCAUCGGCCAGAUCUUGGAGAAGCAAGUCCUGUCGGCCGCGAAGGCGGUCGAGGACAAGCUAGACGAGCAGAUCGCCGCGCUCGAGCGGCUCGACCCGGACGACAUCGAGGCGCUACGCGAGCGCCGGAUGCUGCAGAUGCGCCGCGCGGCCGAGCGCCGGGCCAAGUGGCGCGCCCUGGGGCACGGCGAGUACACGGAGGUCCCCGAGAAAGAGUUCUUCUCCGCCGCCAAGGCCAGCGAGCGCAUGGUGUGCCACUUCUACCGCGACAACUGGCCCUGCAAGGUUAUGGACAAACACAUGUCGAUUCUUGCUAAACAGCAUGUAGAAACACGGUUUAUCAAAGUCCAUGCUGAAAAGGCUCCCUUUCUGACCGAAAAACUAAGGGUUGUUGUGCUUCCAACUCUUGCCUUAGUGAAGAACGCCAAGGUUGAGGAUUAUGUGGUUGGAUUUGAUGAGCUGGGUGGUAAAGAUGACUUCAGCACUGAAGAUCUGGAGGAACGCAUUGCGAAAGCUCAAGUGAUCUUCCUCGACGGAGAGGGGCCUGCAAAUCCUUCCAAGCAAGCUGCUGCCAGCAAGCGAAGCGUUCGACAAUCAGAUACUGGCAACUCAGACUCUGACUAG
This 633-nucleotide ribosomal RNA is filed under the name Triticum aestivum (bread wheat). RNAcentral describes it as "partial small subunit ribosomal RNA". Lineage: Eukaryota; Viridiplantae; Streptophyta; Magnoliopsida; Poales; Poaceae. The record is from RNAcentral.